AACGCACAUUGCGCCUCCUGUUACAGGGAGGCAUGCCUGUCUGAGCGUCAUUUAAACUCCAUGCCCGACGGCGCGCUCCGCCGUCGGCGUGUUGGGCCCUCGUCGGACGUCAGUGUCGACGUGGCCUUGAAUCCAUCGGUCGAGUCGAGCGGACGAGAUCCUCUGGGACAGGAGACCGUUCACGAGACCCUAAAUGCCGUCUGAAUUUUGACCUCAGAUCAGGUAGGAACACCGCCUGAACUUAA
RNAcentral lists this unclassified non-coding RNA (245 nucleotides) under uncultured Archaeorhizomycetales. Its description in RNAcentral is "sequence contains 5.8S rRNA gene, ITS2, 28S rRNA gene". The record is from RNAcentral. Lineage: Eukaryota; Fungi; Ascomycota; Archaeorhizomycetes.